This 268-nucleotide long non-coding RNA is filed under the name Elaeis guineensis (African oil palm). RNAcentral's name for it is "long non-coding RNA (EGUI_LNC057859)". Lineage: Eukaryota; Viridiplantae; Streptophyta; Magnoliopsida; Arecales; Arecaceae. The record is from RNAcentral.
CACUACUUUUUUUCUGCACAACCAUGAAAAAAUUUUUGCUUAAGGAGGGUAAUGGAUCACUAUUAAGAAUUUGCAAUUGUACAAUAUUGAAAAUCGAAUUUAGUGCUAUGAGAAUUGGAACUUCUCUAUUUCUCUUGCUGUAGUAAAUGCCUUUCCAACCCUACAUGAACAUAGAAGAACAGUGUCAUAUAAGUGCAACUCAUCCUAUAAGACUUUAAGCUUUGAAUAAUAGAUUGUGUCUGAGAGCCCUUCUUGCACAAUGAGAGAG